This 182-nucleotide unclassified non-coding RNA is filed under the name uncultured fungus. RNAcentral's name for it is "sequence contains ITS1". The record is from RNAcentral. Lineage: Eukaryota; Fungi.
UUUUUUUGUUAUGGUUUUGUUUACGUUCGUUAACUCAUGUUUGUAAAGGUAUACCUGGGUCUCUAGCUCGAAAGCCGUCGUCCCAGGUGAAUGAUGCACAGAGUGGAGAGUGGAGGACGAGCCUGCAGUGCUGCAGUGCUCAAAAUUCACUAAUGAUCCUUCCGCAGGUUCACCUACGGAAA